CCAUCCCUGAUGGGGUGUCACCCUCACCCAUCCCUAACAGGGGCGUCACCCUCACCCAUCCCUAAUGGGGGUGUUACCCCAACCAUAAUGGGGGUGUCACCCUCACCCAUCCCUCACGGGGGUGUCACCCUGACCCAUCCCUAAUGGGGGUGUCACCCCCACCCAUCCCCAAGGGGGGUGUCACCCUCACCCAUCCCCAAGGGGGGUGUCACCCUCACCCGUCCCUGAUGAAGGUGUCACCCUCACCCAUCCCUAAUGGGGGUGUCACCCUCACCCAUCCCUAAUAGGGGUGUCACCCUCACCCAUCCCUGAUGGAGUGUCACCCUCACCCAUCCCUAAUGAAGGUGUCACCCUCACCCAUCCCUAAUGGGGGUGUCACCCUCACCCAUCCCUGAUGAUGGUGUCACCCUCACCCAUCCCCAACGGGGGUGUCACCCUCACCCAUCCCUGAUGAUGGUGUCACCCCAACCCCAUCCCUGACAGGGGUGUCCCCUCUCUGCAGGCCCUGGGGGACCCCCACCUGCCCGGAGAGCCCUGGGGACAUCCCAAGGGGGUCCCCAAGAACAGGGGACAAACAAGAGCGGAGCAUCGGAGCAGGACGGGCCAGGGGGCCCAGAGAUGGCGGUGCCCAAAGCCCAGGACCUGGAUGUCCCCCAGGGCCAGGAGUCAGCUGUCCCCAAACCGGAGGAGCUG
This 693-nucleotide long non-coding RNA is filed under the name Zonotrichia albicollis (white-throated sparrow). Its description in RNAcentral is "lncRNA (ENSZALG00000001888.1)". Lineage: Eukaryota; Metazoa; Chordata; Aves; Passeriformes; Passerellidae. The record is from RNAcentral.